ACGGAGGGUGCAAGCGUUAUCCGGAUUCACUGGGUUUAAAGGGUGCGUAGGCGGGUUGGUAAGUCCGUGGUGAAAUCUCCAAGCUUAACUUGGAAACUGCCGUGGAUACUAUCAAUCUUGAAUAUCGUGGAGGUGAGCGGAAUAUGUCAUGUAGCGGUGAAAUGCUUAGAUAUGACAUAGAACACCCAUUGCGAAGGCAGCUCGCUACACGGUUAUUGACGCUGAGGCACGAAAGCGUGGGGAUCAAACAGGAUUAGAUACCCUGGUAGUCCACGCCCUAAACGAUGAUUACUCGACAUCAGCGAUACACUGUUGGUGUCUGAGCGAAAGCAUUAAGUAAUCCACCUGGGAAGUACGACCGCAAGGUUG
This 369-nucleotide ribosomal RNA is filed under the name uncultured bacterium. Its description in RNAcentral is "bacterial SSU rRNA". It matches the Rfam family "Bacterial small subunit ribosomal RNA", at positions 525 to 896 of the family's 1533-position model. The record is from RNAcentral.